CCGAAUUGGGCUUCCAGCCCCUUAAGUGUGUGACCCUAUGGGUUCGGAUACGUAUAGACAUGGCCCGAGUACUCCUACUCGGCCCAAUAGUCGGUAGCGGCCUCUAGCAAGACGUGCCAACUCCUAUACGCACACGAAGAUUAUAUCAGACGAACCAUCACAACAUAAUAUACAUGCUAUUCCCUUUGCCUCACGAUAUUUGGUCUAGCUUCAAGCCGACCGCUCUUUCUCGAUCCUGUGAUUCGGAAUCCCUUUGUAGGUUAACUCUUAACCGUACGUAGCAUGGCCAUGCAUUUUCGGAUCCGAUCACUCGAGGGGCCCAGAGAUAUCACUCUCAAUCAGAG
RNAcentral lists this long non-coding RNA (344 nucleotides) under Setaria italica (foxtail millet). RNAcentral's name for it is "long non-coding RNA (SITA_LNC001927)". Lineage: Eukaryota; Viridiplantae; Streptophyta; Magnoliopsida; Poales; Poaceae. The record is from RNAcentral.